This 230-nucleotide long non-coding RNA is filed under the name Capsicum annuum. RNAcentral's name for it is "long non-coding RNA (CANN_LNC004731)". Lineage: Eukaryota; Viridiplantae; Streptophyta; Magnoliopsida; Solanales; Solanaceae. The record is from RNAcentral.
CCUAUACUCCUAUAGCAUUAGAGAACACAAAUCUAACACUAAAAAUACAAGAAAAAUGCAAAAUCAAAAACUCAAAAUUUGACCUAGGGUCAAAAACGGGUUUAGUAUAUUUUUUGGGGGAUUUUCGAUUUUGACACUUCUUUUUUGUCGGUAUUUUUAAUUUCUAUACUCUAAUAGUGUUAGGGAACAAGAUCUAACACUAGAAACACACAAAAAUCAAGUUUUUUGAA